UACGCGCCUUUACGAAUCGCAGAGUUUAAGAAAUUAGCAUGCCCGAUCGUCGAGGGGUGGCUCUCGGAGAUGCGCGAGACGCGCGUCAAAGUGACACUCACACACAGAGAGAGAGAGAGAGAGAGAGAGAGAGAGUGCCAAGGUUCAGACGACGACGCGAGAGGGGUUAGACGGUGCGCGCUCGGAGGCAAAGUGAGGUAAUGGCGUGUCGGAGUUAACCGGCUGAUAACCAUCGGUUAUAAUUAACUCAACCUAAUUGGCGAACAAGCUAAGCCUGCCAACCGCGCUAAGUCGUAACUGUGCGUUUCACUUUAUGGAUAUCGAGCAACGGUCGUCGGGCACAGGAUUCCCCGCUCUCUCUGUCGUUCGCCCUCUGAGGAUGACUUCCUGUGGAACCGUCAGCAGUAAUGCUUUCGGUUAUGUAUUAUUCUUCGUACGAUUACCAUUUCGUACGUGACGGUUGAAACAUUGCGGAGUGAAGAGUUGCAAAAUGGAAAUUGUGCAAGUCAACGUAGCUAACUGCGUUCCAUUUUAUUUUAAUCGUAACAAAAUUAUAACUGUAACGUUCUGCUCUGGUGGAUAUUAUCGCAGUAGCGAGGAUUUAUCAAACGCAGAAAGUUGAAUAGAAAAGUCGGUUUAGUUCGAUUCGAUGAUAAUUCUUCGUUAAACCAGGUCUCGAGUAAGAUCGAAACGCAAAUGCACGUCGCAAGUACGAUAAGUCAAACUGACCUGAAACAUGUUCAAUCGACGACUACGGACUCGCCCCUGGUUUCAACUGGUUGCAGUUUUCCUCGAGCAACCUGCGAGUCGGAGUCCGGAGUUUCUCACAGGAACAGUAAACAAGCCGUCGCGCGGAAGCGGCUUAAAAACGACACCCGGUACGAUGGCUGUCAUGGCAGCCGUUGCCGCUUUCUCGCUGCAUUCUCCCAAAGGUUAAUCCCUAUUGUCGGUUGACAUAAGCCUCUAAUGGAUGGAACCGAUCCGCGGCACGGACGACGCAGGCUCUCCGACACGGACGCACCACCAGUUUCGAUUCGCUCUGUUUGUUGAACGUAACGUUUGCCGGGCGCGAACAACGGUGAAACAUUCAUUUUGUUUUUUUCUCUUUCUCUCCCUCUCUCUCUUUUCUUUUUUUUAUUUUCUUCUCGAACAACAAGGAUGUCUGCCAGUCUGUCACGGGUUUCUGAACAAUCGUCCCGAUGGCACAAGAUUUCGGGGAGUGGGCGAAGUUUUUAUUUUCGGACGAUGGUACACGAUUAACACGAGAGGGCACGCGUCCACGUCCAAGACGUAUGUACGUACAAUCGAAAUCCGUCUUUCCGGAGAGCGUAAGCGAGUCAGACGAGUCAGUCUAGGAGGAGGGUUAAACAGGGUGUCCGUUUCGGGUGCUUUAACGAGGCGAAACGAGGCACGGAGAAAUGCGGUAAAAGGGCCAAUCCCAAUCACUUUUCCCGACCAAUUCUGUAAUUUUCGCUAAGCAGAACGAAUGCCUUCUCUCUUUUCUCUCCUAUGGUAGCCGAGCCGGCACGGUAGAUUGCAGAAAGGAGGCCCUAGGACGUGGGGUGGUUCGUCGGUUGGGGAGGGUGAUGAGGAGAGGAGGGAAGGUGGUGGAAAGGCCAGGCCAGGCCGCGCGCAAUCAUCGCCUAGUCUUUUAAUUUCCUAUACUGGCGGGAGAGAGCACGUGUAAGUGUGUACGCGUUGGCGCGGACGCGCGCGCGUCCACGUCCGUGACCGCGACCGUGUGCGUGGCGUUCGUGUGAAGCGGAUGUAGGGAAGAUAGGGAAGGAGAGAAUGGGAGAGAAAGUUUUGAGUGAAGGAAAAGGAGGAACGGAGAGGUGUGGAGGAACGAAAGGGGAGAAAAAGAAGGAGAACGUGAAUGAAAGGAGGAUGGAGAGAGAGAGGGGGGGAGGGAGGGUGAAAGAGGGGCAAGAGACGGAGGAAGAGAACGGUGGCUCGUGCGCGAGGGUCGGCACGGGGUGGUAAUUGGCUGUCAUGGCUUCCCAGUUCUACCAACCGCCCAACAACCCCGAGAGAUUGGUAUCGCUUAUAAUUAACUUCUCCGUGCCACGAAGCCACCGUUUCCAUCGCGGCGUCCACGAAAAAGAGAGGUAGUUACAAAGGAGGGAGGGGGAGGGGGAGCGAGGGCUAAAAAGCAGCUGUGUGUAUGUGGGUGACACGGGCGGGCGAAAGUUUCGAUUGUAGUCAAAAAGCUGGCGAGGUUUCGCAAGCGUGCGACGUAAAAAAAAAAAAAAAAAAAAAUAAGAAAAGGAAAGAAAGAAAGAGAAAAGAAAGAAAUCGAGCCACGGAGAGGAACGAUAUAUCGGGGGAGGAGGACGCGCGCGAUGAAAUGGAAGGACUGUUGUGGCUCGUGGUCCGUCCGCCUUAUUUCUUAUUCGUAAUACCAAGUUCUGUUCGCAAUGUGCUGGCGUCUAACGGGGAAGAUCGAAAUUCCGUGUGCCCGGGAGCGUCGAACGGUGGUCUCGUUAUUUCGUAAUUUUCCUUAGGUACCGUAAUUGGAGCCUUUUGUACGCGCGUCGCUACUCUAACGAAGAAGAUCAUUAGCUUUGAGAAAAUCUGGUAGUCCCGCAAGUUUCUCGGCGGACACCUUUGAAAUGAACUCACCGACACCUUUAGGGGUGGCUGAACGAGUUGGAAAGAACUGCGGAAGCCGUGCGUCAGGGUUCGAAGAAGAUUUUACGGGACAUAGGAUAGCGGUUUGCCUCUUGCACGGCAGAGGAAGAGGCGACAGCAGCCAGAAGAAAGACUCUUUCAGCGAACAAACGGAGAUGGAAAACGAGCCAGAGGAAUUGGGACAGGAUUGUAAAGAAAGAGGAACGGAGGUCAGAGAGGGAAGAUUAUAAAGUAGAUUAAAGCGGAGAGGAUGACAAGGAAGGCGAUAAAGCAGAAAAAUGAAAGAGAAAGUGCAGUAAAAAGGAGGAAAAGAGAGAGAGAUAGAGAGAGAGAGAGAAAGUGAAAGAGCUGUGUGGAAGCUGCAAGAAAGCUGUAUAGAGAAGAGAAGAGUGAUGAAGAGGAAUGACGUGACGAGGAGAAAGCGUAGGAGUAAACCAGAGGAAUCGUAUGAGCAACACGGCGGAGGGCGACAAGGGAGGAAACGGGAAGGAUAGAAAUGCACCGAAGUCUAAAUCCUCGCUCCGUUUUCCACGCUCUCAACUGCCGACUUCGACUGCUCGUGCUCGCUCUCCGUCUCCGUUCAUCGAGUGUGUUUCAUGAGUGUCAACGUACGCGCGGAGGAUCGAGGAAGCUACUACCACGACCGUGCCAUCCGAGGAUUUUCACGGAUCCUGCAGUUCAUCGA
Long non-coding RNA from Frieseomelitta varia, 3316 nucleotides. RefSeq lists it as uncharacterized. The transcript is spliced from 3 exons. Lineage: Eukaryota; Metazoa; Arthropoda; Insecta; Hymenoptera; Apidae. The record is from RefSeq and is a predicted model, not a curated record.